UACAUUGGGUGCAAGCGUUAUCCGGAAUGAUUGGGCGUAAAGGGUUCGUAGGUGGUUUAGAAAGUCUAUUGUCAAAGACUAAGGCUUAACCUUAGGCCGGCAAUGGAAACUUCUAAUCUUGAGAAUGGUAGAGGUAAAGGGAAUUACCGGUGUAGCGGUGAAAUGCGCAGAUAUCGGUAAGAACACCAACGGCGAAAGCACUUUACUGGACCAGAAACUGACACUAAGUGAACGAAAGCCAGAGUAGCGAAUAGG
This 255-nucleotide ribosomal RNA is filed under the name uncultured bacterium. RNAcentral describes it as "partial 16S ribosomal RNA". It matches the Rfam family "Bacterial small subunit ribosomal RNA", at positions 524 to 776 of the family's 1533-position model. The record is from RNAcentral.